UGUGUUGGUGACAUAGUAUAUAUGUGCUGUAGGUUAGCCUUGACGGACGCUCCGUCAAUUGGGACGGACCGACGGACACUCUGUUUUUUCACGUAACGUCCCAUGGGACACUCCUAAAAGUUAGGACUUAGAUGGUUUCCAGUGUUCGGAGCUUGGCGGACUCUCCACUCCAUUUGGUGGAUGCUCCACAGAGAGCUAGGUGCUCUUGGGUUAUCUCAGAAUUAUAGUUUAUAUUAUUGCAGUGGACACUCCGCGACAUUUCAAAGACACUCUGUCACUUGCAGGACUUGGCAUCGUCUGUGAUCAAGUGUACUCCCUCCGUCCCAAAAUAAGUGUCGUUUUCGCUUCCCGAGAAAUAAUUUUAACUAAAUAUAUAAUAAAAAAUAUUAGUAUUUAUAGUACAUAAUUAGUAUCAUUG
RNAcentral lists this long non-coding RNA (418 nucleotides) under Sorghum bicolor (sorghum). RNAcentral's name for it is "long non-coding RNA (SBIC_LNC011177)". The record is from RNAcentral. Lineage: Eukaryota; Viridiplantae; Streptophyta; Magnoliopsida; Poales; Poaceae.